GUAGGUGGCAAGCGUUGUCCGGAAUUAUUGGGCGUAAAGCGCGCGCAGGCGGUCCUUUAAGUCUGAUGUGAAAGCCCACGGCCCAACCGUGGAGGGUCAUUGGAAACUGGGGGACUUGAGUACAGAAGAGGAAAGCGGAAUUCCACGUGUAGCGGUGAAAUGCGUAGAGAUGUGGAGGAACACCAGUGGCGAAGGCGGCUUUCUGGUCUGUAACUGACGCUGAGGCGCGAAAGCGUGGGGAGCAAACAGGAUUAGAUACCCUGGUAGUCCACGCCGUAAACGAUGAGUGCUAAGUGUUAGGGGGUUUCCCGCCCCCUUAGUGCUGCAGCUAACGCAUUAAGCACUCCGCCUGGGGGAGUACGGCCCGCAAGGCUG
RNAcentral lists this ribosomal RNA (375 nucleotides) under uncultured organism. Its description in RNAcentral is "partial 16S ribosomal RNA". It matches the Rfam family "Bacterial small subunit ribosomal RNA", at positions 527 to 896 of the family's 1533-position model. The record is from RNAcentral.